GUACAGGUUCAAUUUAGGUGUGAAGUAUUUCAACAACUGUAUCAACUAAUAAUAUUACAAAUAUUAUCAACUUUUGAUACUAAGAAUGGCAUUAUUUCGUUUAACAACUCGUCAAGGUUAUGUAGUGGCCACAUUAGGAGCUAUCAGCGGUUAUAUUAUUUGGAACAAACCUUUAAAAGAAUACUCUGAAAAACAUUUCCCUGAAAGAAAUUCCAAUAAAGAAAUAUAUCAUGGCGAAUCGCAAGGAUCCUAAAAAAUCUCUAAAUAGAUUAUUUACUAGUAUAGCUGUAGCUAUAGGAUUCAUCUGUGCUUAUAAGUUUUACUUUAAAUCAUAUGUUUCUACUUACGCAACACAACAAAUUGAAGAAGAUGCAAAUAUAUUAUAUGAAAAGUAUAAAAAGA
Long non-coding RNA from Eufriesea mexicana, 402 nucleotides. RefSeq lists it as uncharacterized. The record is from RefSeq and is a predicted model, not a curated record. NCBI's taxonomy places the organism in Eukaryota, Metazoa, Arthropoda, Insecta, Hymenoptera, Apidae. The transcript is spliced from 4 exons.